RNAcentral lists this ribosomal RNA (465 nucleotides) under uncultured Klebsiella sp. RNAcentral's name for it is "bacterial SSU rRNA". It matches the Rfam family "Bacterial small subunit ribosomal RNA", at positions 338 to 795 of the family's 1533-position model. Lineage: Bacteria; Pseudomonadati; Pseudomonadota; Gammaproteobacteria; Enterobacterales; Enterobacteriaceae. The record is from RNAcentral.
CCUACGGGCGGCAGCAGUGGGGAAUAUUGCACAAUGGGCGCAAGCCUGAUGCAGCCAUGCCGCGUGUGUGAAGAAGGCCUUCGGGUUGUAAAGCACUUUCAGCGGGGAGGAAGGCGUUAAGGUUAAUAACCUUGUCGAUUGACGUUACCCGCAGAAGAAGCACCGGCUAACUCCGUGCCAGCAGCCGCGGUAAUACGGAGGGUGCAAGCGUUAAUCGGAAUUACUGGGCGUAAAGCGCACGCAGGCGGUCUGUCAAGUCGGAUGUGAAAUCCCCGGGCUCAACCUGGGAACUGCAUUCGAAACUGGCAGGCUAGAGUCUUGUAGAGGGGGGUCGAAUUCCAGGUGUAGCGGUGAAAUGCGUAGAGAUCUGGAGGAAUACCGGUGGCGAAGGCGGCCCCCUGGACAAAGACUGACGCUCAGGUGCGAAAGCGUGGGGAGCAAACAGGAUUAGAUACCCCUGUAGUC